RNAcentral lists this ribosomal RNA (450 nucleotides) under uncultured organism. RNAcentral describes it as "partial 16S ribosomal RNA". It matches the Rfam family "Bacterial small subunit ribosomal RNA", at positions 332 to 798 of the family's 1533-position model. The record is from RNAcentral.
UACACUCCUGCGGGAGGCAGCAGUGGGGAAUAUUGGACAAUGGGCGCAAGCCUGAUCCAGCCAUGCCGCGUGAGUGAUGAAGGCCCUAGGGUUGUAAAGCUCUUUCACCGGUGAAGAUAAUGACGGUAACCGGAGAAGAAGCCCCGACUAACUUCGUGCCAGCAGCCGCGGUAAUACGAAGGGGGCUAGCGUUGUUCGGAUUUACUGGGCGUAAAGCGCACGUAGGCGGACUAUUAAGUCAGGGGUGAAAUCCCGGGGCUCAACCCCGGAACUGCCUUUGAUACUGGUAGUCUUGAGUUCGAGAGAGGUGAGUGGAAUUCCGAGUGUAGAGGUGAAAUUCGUAGAUAUUCGGAGGAACACCAGUGGCGAAGGCGGCUCACUGGCUCGAUACUGACGCUGAGGUGCGAAAGCGUGGGGAGCAAACAGGAUUAGAAACCCUUGUAGUCCCAU